GACGAACGCUGGCGGCGUGCUUAACACAUGCAAGUCGAACGGAAAGGCCCUGCUUGCAGGGUGCUCGAGUGGCGAACGGGUGAGUAACACGUGGGUGAUCUGCCCCUUACUUUGGGAUAAGCCUGGGAAACUGGGUCUAAUACUGGAUAGGACCAUGCUGUAGGUGGUGUGGUGGAAAGAUUAGUUUCGGUAAGGGAUGAGCUCGCGGCCUAUCAGCUUGUUGGUGGGGUAAUGGCCUACCAAGGCGUCGACGGGUAGCCGGCCUGAGAGGGUGGACGGCCACAUUGGGACUGAGAUACGGCGCAGAAGCCUACGGGAGGCAGCAGUGGGGAAUAGUGCACAAUGGGCGGAAGCCUGAUGCAGCGACGCCGCGUGGGGGAUGACGGCCUUCGGGUUGUAAACUCCUUUCAGCCAUGACGAAGCCCUUGUGGUGACGGUAGUGGUAGAAGAAGCACCGGCUAACUACGUG
This 469-nucleotide ribosomal RNA is filed under the name uncultured bacterium. RNAcentral describes it as "partial 16S ribosomal RNA". It matches the Rfam family "Bacterial small subunit ribosomal RNA", at positions 28 to 507 of the family's 1533-position model. The record is from RNAcentral.